This 271-nucleotide unclassified non-coding RNA is filed under the name Hevea brasiliensis (rubber tree). Lineage: Eukaryota; Viridiplantae; Streptophyta; Magnoliopsida; Malpighiales; Euphorbiaceae. The record is from RNAcentral.
UCCUACUCUCAGCUUGUAGGAGGACGUUCGUCAUCAAGCUCUGGUAAGGGAAAAGGCCAUGAGGGCUCAAUCAAGUACGGUUUCAGCCUAAUAAAAGGGAAAGCUAAUCAUCCCAUGGAGGAUUAUCACGUUGCUAAGUUUGUGCAGAUUCAAGGACAUGAAUUAGGGCUUUUUGCUAUCUAUGAUGGCCAUAUGGGAGAAGGCGAGAUGGUGUGCCUGCAUAUCUACAGAAGCAUUUGUUUUCCAAUAUCCUAAAGGAGGAAGAGUUCUG